UAGGGAAUCUUCGGCAAUGGACGAUAGUCUGACCGAGCAACGCCGCGUGAGUGAAGAAGGUUUUCGGAUCGUAAAACUCUUUUGUUAGAGAAGAACAAGGACGUUAGUAACUGAACGUCCCCUGACGGUAUCUAACCAGAAAGCCACGGCUAACUACGUGCCAGCAGCCGCGGUAAUACGUAGGUGGCAAGCGUUGUCCGGCUUUAUUGGGCGUUAUGCGAGCGCAGGCGGUUUCUUAAGUCUGAUGUGAAAGCCCCCGGCUCAACCGGGAAGGGUCAUGGGAAACUGGGAGACUUGAGUGCAGAAGAGGAGAGUGGAAUUCCAUGUGUAGCGGUGAAAUGCGAAGAUAUAUGGAGGAAAACCAGUGGCGAAGGCGGCUCUCUGGUCUGUAACUGACGCUGAGGCUCGAAAGCGUGGGGAGCAAACAGG
Molecule: ribosomal RNA, 429 nt
Filed under: Gemmatimonadota bacterium
Lineage: Bacteria; Pseudomonadati; Gemmatimonadota
Description: Gemmatimonadetes bacterium partial 16S ribosomal RNA
Rfam family: Bacterial small subunit ribosomal RNA
Source: RNAcentral